GUGGGGAAUCUUAGACAAUGGGGGAAACCCUGAUCUAGCCAUGCCGCGUGAGCGAUGAAGGCCUUAGGGUUGUAAAGCUCUUUCAGCUGGGAAGAUAAUGACGGUACCAGCAGAAGAAGCCCCGGCUAACUCCGUGCCAGCAGCCGCGGUAAUACGGAGGGGGCUAGCGUUGUUCGGAAUUACUGGGCGUAAAGCGCGCGUAGGCGGACCAGUAAGUUGGAGGUGAAAUCCCAGGGCUCAACCUUGGAACUGCCUUCAAAACUCCUGGUCUGGAGUUCGAGAGAGGUGAGUGGAAUUCCGAGUGUAGAGGUGAAAUUCGUAGAUAUUCGGAGGAACACCAGUGGCGAAGGCGGCUCACUGGCUCGAUACUGACGCUGAGGUGCGAAAGCGUGGGGAGCAAACAGGAUUAGAAACCCGUGUAGUCC
RNAcentral lists this ribosomal RNA (425 nucleotides) under uncultured bacterium. RNAcentral's name for it is "partial 16S ribosomal RNA". It matches the Rfam family "Bacterial small subunit ribosomal RNA", at positions 354 to 796 of the family's 1533-position model. The record is from RNAcentral.